This 378-nucleotide ribosomal RNA is filed under the name uncultured bacterium. RNAcentral describes it as "bacterial SSU rRNA". It matches the Rfam family "Bacterial small subunit ribosomal RNA", at positions 28 to 407 of the family's 1533-position model. The record is from RNAcentral.
GUUGAACGCUGGCGGCAUGCUUUACACAUGCAAGUCGAACGGUAACAGGCCGCAAGGUGCUGACGAGUGGCGAACGGGUGAGUAAUGUAUCGGAACGUGCCCAGUCGUGGGGGAUAACGCAGCGAAAGCUGCGCUAAUACCGCAUACGAUCUAUGGAUGAAAGCGGGGGGACCGUAAGGCCUCGCGCGAUUGGAGCGGCCGAUAUCAGAUUAGGUAGUCGGUGGGGUAAAGGCUCACCAAGCCAACGAUCUGUAGCUGGUCUGAGAGGGCGACCAGCCACACUGGGACUGAGACACGGCCCAGACUCCUACGGGAGGCAGCAGUGGGGAAUUUUUGGACAAUGGGCGCAAGCCUGAUCCAGCAAAUGCCGCGUGCAGG